AGAGUUUGAUCCUGGCUCAGGACGAACGCUGGCGGCGUGCCUAAUACAUGCAAGUCGAGCGGAGUAUUUCCUUCGGGGAAUGCUUAGCGGCGGACGGGUGAGUAACACGUAGGCAACCUGCCCUCAAGACUGGGAUAACUACCGGAAACGGUAGCUAAUACCGGAUAAUUUCUUUGUUCUCCUGAAGAGAGAAUGAAAGG
This 200-nucleotide ribosomal RNA is filed under the name uncultured bacterium. RNAcentral describes it as "partial 16S ribosomal RNA". It matches the Rfam family "Bacterial small subunit ribosomal RNA", at positions 8 to 208 of the family's 1533-position model. The record is from RNAcentral.